AAGUCGUAACAAGGUUUCCCGUAGGUGAACCCUGCGGAAGGAUCAUUAAAGAAUGCCCCGUUUUUUGAAAUGGGUUCUGUUCCCAAACCGUGUAUACAUACUUUUGUUGCUUUGGCAGGCCGCCUUCGGGCGUCGGCUCACGCUGACAGCGCCUGCCAGAGGACCCAAACUCGUUUGUUUAGUGAUGUCUGAGUACUAUAUAAUAGUUAAAACUUUCAACAACGGAUCUCUUGGUUCUGGCAUCGAUGAAGAACGCAGCGAAAUGCGAUAAGUAAUGUGAAUUGCAGAAUUCAGUGAAUCAUCGAAUCUUUGAACGCACCUUGCGCCCUUUGGUAUUCCGAAGGGCAUGCCUGUUUGAGUGUCAUUAAAUUUAUCAACCUUGCUUGCUUUUACUAGCUCGCUUGGCUUGGAUGUGGGGGUUUGCUGGCUUCCUUCAGUGGAUGGUCUGCUCCCCUUAAAUGCAUUAGUGGGAUCUCUUGUGGACCGUCACUUGGUGUGAUAAUUAUCUAUGCCAUAUGACUUUGAAGCAAAUUUUAUGAGAACCUGCUUAUAACCGUCUCUCGCAGCAAUGCGGAUUGGGGGUCUGAGUCCUUUAUUUGGGCACUUCCCUUGUCGGACAACUUUUUUAACAUUUUGACCUCAAAUCAGGUAGGACUACCCGCUGAACUUAA
RNAcentral lists this ribosomal RNA (671 nucleotides) under uncultured fungus. RNAcentral describes it as "eukaryotic LSU rRNA". The stretch from base 211 to 364 matches the Rfam family "5.8S ribosomal RNA". Lineage: Eukaryota; Fungi. The record is from RNAcentral.